CUGGUCUGACUGCUCUGAAUGCUAGUUUCAAUGUGAGCAUAACAGAAACAGGUCCAGUUCCUAUGACUGCCAGAUCCACGUCUCCUGCAUCUUUAAACAUCACCGGCUUCGACAUUGAAGCUGACUCCAUCAGCAUAACUUCAAGUGGAGUAAGCCACAAGAUCAAUCUCAUCUCCACAUCUUGCCUUGUACUGGUGUCAUGGCUACUGACAAGCCAGAAAUAGCAUCAGUGCUGACUUCCAUUUGACUUUCUGUGACAUUAGUCUCAAAAUAAAGAUAGAAUAAGUGCAAGCAAAGAUUAAUAGUCUUCUAUUGUAUGCAAAAUUCCCGUUUAGGUUUCACCUAAUGACAUAGAAUAGCAGCAUCUUCACAGCUCCACAGAGAUCAUAUCAUAA
Molecule: long non-coding RNA, 395 nt
Organism: Dicentrarchus labrax (European seabass)
Lineage: Eukaryota; Metazoa; Chordata; Actinopteri; Moronidae
Exons: 3
Source: RefSeq, a predicted model, not a curated record